RNAcentral lists this long non-coding RNA (494 nucleotides) under Carica papaya (papaya). RNAcentral describes it as "long non-coding RNA (CPAP_LNC008707)". Lineage: Eukaryota; Viridiplantae; Streptophyta; Magnoliopsida; Brassicales; Caricaceae. The record is from RNAcentral.
UUGAUAACAAGAAUUACUGGCAACAACCAUUCUUGGAAGACAAGUGUGUCAACUCUACGAAAUUACGUCGAUACUUCCACAUAUUAUGGGUAAUGUAGGAGACAUCUCUAUUUUUCCCCCGGGGAAUCUUUAGAAUUACCACUGCUUAGCUUUCAAUUCGCCUUUGACCAUCAAUUGAAAUGUGAAUAACCCGCCUUCCUCUCUUUGAAACAAGGGGUGCUUCCAAUCAGCAUGCCAACUCAUCCCACAGACUGCAAAUAAAUACGCAUGGCUGACAACUGGAAUGCAAUCGUCCUCCAGCUUAUAGCCAAAUCGUCUCUCUCUGAAAACCGUUAAAGCUGCUUGUACCUCCUGCUUGUUCUGCGUUGUUUUUUGCAAUCUGUUGUCCCUUGUGUUGUCUUUGUUUUCUGUCUCUUGAGAGCCAAAUAGCUCUAUAAAUGUAUCCUCCCUUUAACCAAGAUGAAAAUGAAUGAAUAUCACAUUUUGCUGUGAAU